Neofelis nebulosa (Clouded leopard) is the source of this 1860-nucleotide long non-coding RNA. RefSeq lists it as uncharacterized. The record is from RefSeq and is a predicted model, not a curated record. The transcript has 3 exons. NCBI's taxonomy places the organism in Eukaryota, Metazoa, Chordata, Mammalia, Carnivora, Felidae.
UUCAUUUGAUUCAGUAGGGGGCCAGUGAGAGGGGAGUCAAAGAAGGAAUACUAGUUUUUGACCUGAGUGACUAGACAAAGGUGCCGUUAAAAGAAAUGAAGCUCACUGAAGGAAGUCCUCGUAGCGGCUUGUUUGUGAGGGAAAAUGCCAUUUGGUUUUGGUCAUUUGGAGUUGGAAGGCAUUGUUGGAUAUCCAGGUAUGAGUAAAGCUUGGGUGGUAAGAGUUGGCGAUUCCCCUUUAGCAUGGACAUGAUGGCUGAAGUCGGAGGAUUAUUCCAGGAAGAGCACAGACAGGCAGAUUCAUGCGGGGUCUCAAUGUGUUUGUCACUGUGUCUAGGGGACCAGUGUUUAGAUAAUAAUGGGGUAGAGAUCACAGAGGAUGCUUUUGGAGCCCUUAAGUUUUUAGGGGGUAUAUGCACGUGUGUGUGUGUGUGUGUGUGUGUGGCAAAAAGAUACUGUCCUUCAAUGAGUUAGUGAUUUCCUGUUUUAUCUUCUGCAGUUUUUAUAGUGGAAGGCAGGGGGCAGCAGAGUCCCACUUUUCAAAGGAGAUUCCGGCCACAACUUCAGAAGAAACGUUGCUCCCCACCCCCUCCCGCAACUUGUAUCUUUUUUGUUAACGAUUCCAUAUCCCCUUUUUAAAAGUUGGAGAACAUAAUUUGAUUCCAAAAUUUCUGUCUUUGGGAACAGCAUUCGGAUCUGAAGGCUAGCUUUGGGCAAGCGUGCCUCCAAGCUGAAUGUAUCAACUUCUUUUAAAGAAAAGGAGUUAAGAACUUAUUUACUGGUGAUGGCCUGAUGCUAUUUCAGUAGAAGGCUUGGUGUUGGACUGGAAUUGCAGAUUUUUAGCGUGAGGGCUGACUCUAUCCUGGAGACUACCGUUGGUAUUUAAAGAAAAGAAAUUAGGCCCGCCAGAGCCGCAUUCUUGAGAUACCUUUACUAUUACAGUUAUAGUCAUGGGCUCUGCUCUGCUGUCUUCCAGCAGGUGAUGUCAUCGCUGGUCACAGAACAGUGGGGCCUACUGCUGACCUGCAGCGUGCAGGUCACUCUGGGCCCCGGGGCUGUGCUCCCAGGCUUGCUUCUCUGUGGUCUGCUUUGUUACACACACAAGGACCACAUCUACCUGUAUAUUGCUGUGUCUGGCACAGGAGAAAGAACUGACUAAACUCAUUCAUAUGAAGACACAAGUGACUGCAGCCCCUCUCAAGAUCAAUUGCAUUUUAAUAGGUGUUUAAUGCUGUAGCUAAAGGAAGAAAGCUCUAAAUGUGGGAGUUGAGUACCAAGGACAGGGUGACUGUUUGAUCCUGUCCAAAAACAUGUCAUAAAUCCUCCUUGAUCCCUACUCUCCAUGCUUGGAAGAAUGGUGCUAUUUCUGUUAUAAUUGUGCAUUAUAGCUACAUUCUCAUACCUCUGGACAAGGUAAAUAUAGGCUAGUUGUCCAAUUUGUAUUUAUCUGAUUUCACUAAGAGUGGUACACUAUGCAUUAUAAUUAAAUUUGGGAACAGAACCUAUGCUCACAGAAUAGGCUCCCAAAUUUUAUUCUUUUGAGGUAAACCCCAGGUCCAGUGCUACAACACUUAGGUCUGUCUUGUGAAUCCCCCUAUGGUGAAAUGUGUCUUUAUUUGUCUUUGUGCACUGCUUUGGUAAAUGCUCAUGGAACAAAAAACUGGAUUCUCACUAAAUAUAUGUCUAUUUUAGGGGCACCUGGGUGACUCAGUCAGUUAAGUGGUCAACUUCAGCUCAGGUCAUGAUCUCACGGUUUGUGAGUUCGAGCUCUGAGCUGUCAGCACAGAGCCUGGAGCCUGCUUCAGAUUCUAUGUCUCCCUCUCUCUCUGUCCCUCCCCUGCUUGUGUGCUCUCUCUCUCUC